GUUGGUGUGAUAUUAUUUUUCUAAAAUGCUUUUUUGCCCAGUCUUUUUCUUAUCGUUACAUCAUGAACUCUGACGUUAAAUGAGCUUGCAGUGCUUUAGAUGUUGUCUCUGGGUUCCUUGUGGGCCUGUUGAAGGACUCUUGAAAUCAUUUUGGUUGGCCAAAACCUUCAUUAUGGGUUUGUAACGCUUGCAAGACUGACAGACGCUGAUAAAUUAGUUUCUCGCCUGCUCUGGGACGCGCCUCUUGAUUCUGCAGAUCUGGCCGUAGCCAGGUCGAGAUGCGGUGAGUGAACCCGAACAGAGCAUUGUGGGUAAUCACAGCUAAUUCAUCAAUCAGUCAAUCUAAUCAAAUGUUAUUUUUAUAGCACAUAUCAGCAACAAGGCGGUUUAGAUCAUAAAAAC
This is a long non-coding RNA of Poecilia latipinna (sailfin molly), 402 nucleotides long. RefSeq lists it as uncharacterized. NCBI's taxonomy places the organism in Eukaryota, Metazoa, Chordata, Actinopteri, Cyprinodontiformes, Poeciliidae. The record is from RefSeq and is a predicted model, not a curated record. The transcript has 2 exons.